UACGGAGGGUGCGAGCGUUGUCCGGAAUCAUUGGGCGUAAAGGGCGCGUAGGUGGCCCCUCAAGCGUGCGGUGAAAGUCAGGGGCUCAACCCCUGAUCGGCCGUGCGAACUGGGGAGCUUGAGCACUGUAGAGGCAGGCGGAAUUCCGGGUGUAGCGGUGGAAUGCGUAGAGAUCCGGAAGAACACCGGUGGCGAAGGCGGUCUGCUGGGCAGUUGCUGACACUGAGGCGCGACAGCGUGGGGAGCAAACAGG
RNAcentral lists this ribosomal RNA (253 nucleotides) under uncultured bacterium. RNAcentral describes it as "partial 16S ribosomal RNA". It matches the Rfam family "Bacterial small subunit ribosomal RNA", at positions 524 to 776 of the family's 1533-position model. The record is from RNAcentral.